AACUCACCCAGCGCAUCCGACUGCACAAUGAAAAAAAGUAGUUUUCCUUUACAAUGAGGCUUGGCCCCCAGGGCGAUGGUGCCACAAGCCAGAUCACUGGGACCACUCAGAGAAAGGGAACACAGAAGCCUGGCAUGCCAGCAAAAAGCAGGGUUUUUGUGAGCAGUGUCUUGCACCAAACUCCUGUCUCCUCCUGUGACUUAGAAUGCCUAACUUCCUGGGAAUGCAGCACAGGUCUCAGCCUCAUUUUGCCCAGCCCCUAUUCAAGACGGAUUUGCUGUGGUUCAAAUGCUUCUGACAAUAUUCCUCAUGGUGAAUGCUGGAUUUUGCAUGCCCGAGGCCCUGGGCCACACUGUAUGUUUGCUUUUUGCAAGGGCUGUAUGGCUAUGACUAGUUAUGUGGACCCUGCAUUCCUAUGUAAAUGACCCUCCAUAAAAACCCCAGAAAUGAAUGCUUGAGUGAACUUCCCUGGCUUGUAUUAUAAU
RNAcentral lists this long non-coding RNA (485 nucleotides) under Homo sapiens (human). Its description in RNAcentral is "non-protein coding ZNF460-AS1:22". Lineage: Eukaryota; Metazoa; Chordata; Mammalia; Primates; Hominidae. The record is from RNAcentral.